RNAcentral lists this long non-coding RNA (1410 nucleotides) under Salmo salar (Atlantic salmon). Its description in RNAcentral is "lncRNA (ENSSSAG00000086668.1)". Lineage: Eukaryota; Metazoa; Chordata; Actinopteri; Salmoniformes; Salmonidae. The record is from RNAcentral.
UUACUGUGGCCUUUGUGUUAUGCCGAUUGCGUGAUCACGCUAGCAGCGAGUAGAUAUGGUUGUCCUUGUUCAGAUCCAUUGGACUUGUCUCAACAAUAUUCCUAUCUGCCAGGACAUUGCAGGAUAUCUAGGUUGACUUGUUUUCCCUGGCUUUGUAAAGACUACUGUAAGGAUUGACGCAGGAGAUGAGAAGCAGGUACAGGAUGUGAAGGUUUAUUAGCUGACGGACAUGAAACGGAACAGGAACAGGGUCUGGACAGGAACACAUAACAAUUUAUGCGGACACAGGGAACACCACUGAGGAACAGACAGAUAUACAGGGGGUAAUCAACAACGUGAAGGAGUCCAGGUGUGUCCAAUAAGCGCUGCUGCGCGUAAUGAUGGUGAAAGGUGCCGUGUAAAGAAGGGUAGCCUGGCGCCAGAGAGGGGGAGCAGGAGCAGGCGUGACAACUACAGCCUGAUGGGAGCCAUAGUUCCUUGUUUCCACCCUCGAAGGCAUUUUGUAUAACAACAAAGCCAACUCCAAGUGGUUGAAAAGAGGAAGAAAGGGAAUGUUGUGAAAUGCACCUUUAUUCUCACCUAUGGAGGCUGAGUGAAGAUGAGUGGGUCGUUCCUCCUCCAGUGUGACAAAAGAACCAUAAAGAAUAUGGAUGUGAGAGAUAUAGAGAGAUCAACCUGAGGUGGGAGCUGGAGCAGAACUCCAAUUCAUCACCACAACCUAACCCUUUCUCUGUUUUAUCUGACUCUGGAGAGCGUUUACUAUUCACCUCCAUUCUACUCCUGCUCUUUUCAUUCCUCCCGCUCUACUACUAUACUGCAUAGCUGUCUCACUCUCUUCACUUCUCCUCCCUCUACCCUGGAAGGGAUGCUGUCAUCUACUAUCAUCUGUGUCGUUAACAGGGAAGGGAUCAAAGUGUGGACCGAGUCUCAGGAGCGAGCAGAUCAAAGUUAGGAUAUAUUCUCAUCUGGAAUGAGGAUGGAGCCUGAUCAAGGUUUCAGGAAGGGGAGGUCUGAUCUUACAGAGGGACUUUAACCAUCAAACACCAAGGGAGCUUAAUGCAAAGGAACAUGAGGCAUAGUUCCACACACAACACAUUCUAGUUCACAAAGAGGAUCACAUUAGAAAAUGUUGUACAAUUAUUUUUUUUUAAGUAUACUUUCUUGCCACAAACUCUUCUGCCGAUGUUGUUCAAUAUAUUUAUAUGUUGCAGGAAAGAAAACUACAUGCUGUUCAUGUAUCCUAAACUUGCUACAGGGCAGUGUGUGAUCCCUGCUGGUCUAAGAAGAAGUGCUACAGAGAGGAGAGGAGAUAAAGGACUGGGAGAUCUAGAGAGAGGAUGGUAUUCUUGAUUAAUAUUUCUAUUUGUAUGUUCAUAAUUCACAGCAUAAGAGCUCCAGAGUUCCAAGAUG